This 465-nucleotide ribosomal RNA is filed under the name uncultured bacterium. RNAcentral's name for it is "partial 16S ribosomal RNA". It matches the Rfam family "Bacterial small subunit ribosomal RNA", at positions 28 to 507 of the family's 1533-position model. The record is from RNAcentral.
GACGAACGCUGGCGGCGUGCUUAACACAUGCAAGUCGAACGGAAAGGCCCUGCUUGCAGGGUACUCGCGUGGCGAACGGGUGAGUAACACGUGGGUGAUCUGCCCUGCACUUCGGGUUAAGCCUGGGCAACUGGGCCUAAUACCGAAUAGGAGCCAUUUUUAGUGUGAUGGUUGGAAAGUUUUUUCGGUGUAGGAUGAGCUUGCGACCUAUCGGCUUGUUGGUGGGGUAAUGGCCUACCAAGGCGGCGACGGGUAGCCGGCCUGUGAGGGUGGACGGCCACACUGGGACUGAGGUGCGGCCCAGACUCCUACGGGUGGCAGCAGUGGGGAAUAUUGAACGAUGGGCGCCAGCCUGAUGCAGCGACGCCUCGUGGGGGAUGACGGCCUUAGGGUUGUAAACUCAUUUCGCUAGGGACGAAGCUUUUUGUGACGGUACCUAGAUAAGAAGCACCGGCUAACUACGUG